This 260-nucleotide long non-coding RNA is filed under the name Mytilus galloprovincialis (Mediterranean mussel). Lineage: Eukaryota; Metazoa; Mollusca; Bivalvia; Mytilida; Mytilidae. The record is from RNAcentral.
UAUAUACAGGAUAAAAAUUAAAAGCAUUUCCACCAUCAAGAACAAUGCCGGAUUUAUUUGUGUACAAUAGUGAAAAUAACUUUUCGCACAGCAAAAGAAAGUCAUUGUUCUCGACACAAGCUUUUGAAAGCACUCCAACUUUUUAUUUGUAUACAACAAAUCUAGUUUGUAGGUUUGUAGUUCAAAGACUUAAGUUAUCACGUGUGUUAUAUUUGAAAUCGAAAAGGAACUUCAAGGUAUAUUGGUAAGACAGAAAGUGU